GAUGAACGCUAGCGACAGGCUUAACACAUGCAAGUCGAGGGGCAGCACAGGUAGCACUCCCGGGUGGCGACCGUCGCACGGGUGAGUAACGCGUAUGCAACUUACCUAUCAGAGGGGGAUAACCCGGCGAAAGUCGUACUAAUACCGCAUGAAGCAGAGGUCCCGCUUGGGGAUAUUUGCUAAAGAUUCAUCGCUGAUAGAUAGGCAUGCGUUCCAUUGGGCAGUUGGCGAGGUAACGGCCCCCCAAACCGACGAUGGAUAGGGGUUCUGAGAGGAAGGUCCCUCACAUUGGUAAUGAGACACGGACCAAAAGCGGACGGGAGGCAGCAGAGAGGAAUAUUGGUCAAUGGUCGAGAAGCAGAACAAGCCAAGUCGCGUGAGAAAUGAAGGAUCUGAAGAUCGUAAACCUCUUGUAUAAGGGGAUAAAGAGCGGGAUGUGUCGCGUUUUGUAUGUACCUUAUGAAUAAGGAUCGGAUAACUCCGUG
RNAcentral lists this ribosomal RNA (485 nucleotides) under uncultured bacterium. RNAcentral's name for it is "partial 16S ribosomal RNA". It matches the Rfam family "Bacterial small subunit ribosomal RNA", at positions 28 to 507 of the family's 1533-position model. The record is from RNAcentral.